CUGCCGUUCUGUUUAACAGGGGGACCUCGAGCACCACAAACACUCCCAGUUACACUUUGAUUCAUCAUGUGGAUUACACAGCAGCUAACAGCAUCAGAGAACAUCAUCUAUGAAACACCCACCUGGAACCUUUUAGAUCUCUGUAACUACACCGACAGUUAGAUUAGACCUCUUUCAGUCUCUGACUUCUACAACAUGGACAUCAUCAAACAUGGUUUCCUAAGCUUGUUAACACUUCUGCUCUGGAUAAAAGGUCUAGUUGUUGGGAGUGAUGUCACCCAGACCUCCAUACUGUGGAAAAACAAGGAUGAAAGUGCAACAAUGUCCUGCAACCACACCAAGGGUGAUACCUACAGCCAGAUGUACUGGUACAGACAGCUGCCAGGAGAAGCAAUGAAACUCAUUGUGUUCACAGCAUUCGGCAGAGAAAAUCACGACUUUGGAAAUUUCAGCAAAGAGAGAUUCUCAGCUACUAAGCCUGACUUUGCUAGUGGGACGUUCACAGUGAAGAAUCUGCUGCCAGAAGAUAAAGGCUUGUAUUUCUGUGCUGUGAGUCAACACAGUGAUACAGAUGCACUUGACAGCUGAACAAAAACCUCAGCAAGCUGUUACCAACUGUAUUUAUCUGCUGUACUGUAGGAGGACCUCAAGUACAACACACAACAACUCACAAUACAGCCACACUCCCACCUGUAACUUACAACACAGAAAUAAACUCUGUUGUAACGUCACACCUUCCAUCACACAGACUGAGUGUCUC
Thunnus maccoyii (southern bluefin tuna) is the source of this 760-nucleotide non-coding RNA. Lineage: Eukaryota; Metazoa; Chordata; Actinopteri; Scombriformes; Scombridae. The record is from the annotation of a RefSeq genome assembly.